CACCGCGGUUAUACGAGAGGCCCAAGCUGACAGCUACCGGCGUAAAGAGUGGUUAAUUUGCCCAAUAAACUAAAGCCGAACAUCUCCAAAGUUGUAAAACGCACUCGAAGAUAUGAAGCCCACCCACGAAAGUGGCUUUAUAACUCUUGAACCCACGAAAGCUAGGAAA
RNAcentral lists this ribosomal RNA (169 nucleotides) under Nectamia fusca (ghost cardinalfish). Its description in RNAcentral is "partial 12S rRNA". Lineage: Eukaryota; Metazoa; Chordata; Actinopteri; Kurtiformes; Apogonidae. The record is from RNAcentral.